RNAcentral lists this microRNA precursor (125 nucleotides) under Brassica napus (rape). RNAcentral's name for it is "MIR9563 microRNA precursor family". It matches the Rfam family "MIR9563 microRNA precursor family". The record is from Rfam by way of RNAcentral. RNAcentral also lists the same sequence under 1 other name. Lineage: Eukaryota; Viridiplantae; Streptophyta; Magnoliopsida; Brassicales; Brassicaceae.
GGAAUAUAAGAACUCGUCUCUUAACUUUUAACUAAAAAAACUAAGAACCGGCUCUUAAAUAAGAGUUUUAAGAGCCGGUUCUUAACUUUUUUAGUUAAAAGUUAAGAGACGGGUUCUUAUAUUCU